UGGGGAAUAUUGCACAAUGGAGGGAACUCUGAUGCAGCGACGCCGCGUGAACGAAGAAGGCUUUCGAGUCGUAAAGUUCUUUUAUAUGGGAAGAUAAUGACGGUACCAUAAGAAAAAGCCCCGGCUAACUACGUGCCAGCAGCCGCGGUAAUACGUAGGGGGCUAGCGUUGUCCGGAAUCACUGGGCGUAAAGGGUUCGCAGGCGGAAAUGCAAGUCAGGUGUAAAAGGCAGUAGCUUAACUACUGUAAGCAUUUGAAACUGCAUAUCUUGAGAAGAGUAGAGGUAAGUGGAAUUUUUAGUGUAGCGGUGAAAUGCGUAGAUAUUAAAAAGAAUACCGGUGGCGAAUGCGACUUACUGGGCUCAUUCUGACGCUGAGGAACGAAAGCGUGGGUAGCAAACAGG
This 403-nucleotide ribosomal RNA is filed under the name bacterium. Its description in RNAcentral is "partial 16S ribosomal RNA". It matches the Rfam family "Bacterial small subunit ribosomal RNA", at positions 355 to 776 of the family's 1533-position model. The record is from RNAcentral. RNAcentral also lists the same sequence under 2 other names.